RNAcentral lists this ribosomal RNA (235 nucleotides) under uncultured bacterium. Its description in RNAcentral is "partial 16S ribosomal RNA". It matches the Rfam family "Bacterial small subunit ribosomal RNA", at positions 96 to 334 of the family's 1533-position model. The record is from RNAcentral.
UGGCGGACGGGUGAGUAAUGCUUGGGAAUCUGGCUUAUGGAGGGGGAUAACGACGGGAAACUGUCGCUAAUACCGCGUAGAGUCGGGAGACGAAAGUGCGGGACCGCAAGGCCGCAUGCCAUGAGAUGAGCCCAAGUGGGAUUAGGUAGUUGGUGGGGUAAAGGCCUACCAAGCCGACGAUCUCUAGCUGGUCUGAGAGGAUGACCAGCCACACCGGGACUGAGACACGGCCCGG